This 72-nucleotide transfer RNA is filed under the name Sus scrofa (pig). It matches the Rfam family "tRNA". Rfam says of the family: Transfer RNA (tRNA) molecules are approximately 80 nucleotides in length. The record is from Rfam by way of RNAcentral. Lineage: Eukaryota; Metazoa; Chordata; Mammalia; Artiodactyla; Suidae.
UCCCUGGUGGUCUAAUGGUUAGGAUUCAGCACUUUCACUGCUGUUGCCUGGAUUCAAUCCCUGGUCUGGGAA